UGGGGAAUAUUGGACAAUGGGGGCAACCCUGAUCCAGCCAUGCCGCGUGAGUGAAGAAGGCCUUAGGGUUGUAAAGCUCUUUCGGCGGGGAAGAUGAUGACGGUACCCGCAGAAGAAGCCCCGGCUAACUCCGUGCCAGCAGCCGCGGUAAUACGGAGGGGGCUAGCGUUGUUCGGAAUUACUGGGCGUAAAGGGCGUGUAGGCGGUUUGCCGAGUCAGGCGUGAAAGCCCCGGGCUUAACCUGGGAACUGCGCUUGAUACGGGCAGGCUAGAGGUUGGAAGAGGAGAGUGGAAUUCCCAGUGUAGAGGUGAAAUUCGUAGAUAUUGGGAAGAACACCAGUGGCGAAGGCGGCUCUCUGGUCCACACCUGACGCUGAGGCGCGAAAGCGUGGGGAGCAAACAGGAUUAGAUACCCCCGUAGUCC
This 424-nucleotide ribosomal RNA is filed under the name uncultured prokaryote. RNAcentral's name for it is "bacterial SSU rRNA". It matches the Rfam family "Bacterial small subunit ribosomal RNA", at positions 355 to 796 of the family's 1533-position model. The record is from RNAcentral.